CCCAGGACCGUUGCCCCCAGUGGCCCUGUGUUUAGUAUCUGAGGACCCUCGGCACUGAUUUCCACAGAGGCCACACAAAUGUGCACAGCAAGGUAGAAGGGUUUCUUUCCCCAUACUGUCGCCAGCGGUUAUUGUUUUCUUGUGUUCUUCAUGGUAGGUUUUCUGACUCGGUGAGGUAGACUCUCAAGACAGUUCGGCUUGCCUUUCCCUGGUGGCCAGAGAUAGAAACAGAAGUCUGUUGCUCACAGUUCUGGGGCUGGGAAGGCCAGGCCACACACUCAGGACCUGCCCGGCGGCCCACGCGUGGAUGGCCAUCCUCUCACUGUGUCCUCAUGUUGCUCUCUGUGGUCUCUAUGGUGACACUAAUUCUAUUCACAAAGGCUCCCCUUGUGAGCCAGUACCUCCAAGGCCCCGCCUCCUAAUAUCAUCACCGUGGGAGUUAGGACUCCAACAUGUGCGCUUGGGGGAUUGGAUGCUCAGUCUAGCUGAAGAGCUUUCUCUCAGUGUGCCCCAGGUGUGUGCCUGCCAGGAAUCUCGGAAUGUCCUGAGCCUCAGUUCUCGGUCGGUGGAAGGAGCCAGCAGCACCUCAGCUUCCAGGGCUGCUCUGGGAGAAUGUGUGAUUGACAGGAGCAGGGCACAGUUUAUCUGGAACAAAAUGAGAUGGACCAUUUUAUUGCAGCAAGUGAGAGGCAGAAGUGUUUCUAUCUUAGGAGACUUCCACCUUUGUCCCAGCAAUUUCAGUGGGGUUUACCGGCAGUGUUUGCUUCCCUCUAUCCUUUGGUCAAUCAGUGUGAAAGGACAGCCAACAUUUCAAAUAUUUUUAAAUUAAAAAUAGAUUACAAAAACACUUUCGGACUCUUUUUCCAGCUGUAAAAUUAAGCUCAUCUACCUAGAAACUCAGUAAAUGAAGUGCAUCCCUACAUAUUUGCUGAGGGAAAGAGUUCAACAGUCUUUCUUUCUGAGGGAAAGAGAAUUUUUUUCCAAAUUCUGGUCUCUAUGUGCUGAAAAGAACAUGUUCCGUGUUCUGCUGGCUAGCACAAUUAGAAGCUGGACCACCUACAGCUUCUAGAACUUGCUCCUUGUCCUAGCUGUCAUGAGACUUAUAUGAUAAGAAAGAAGAUGAAUGUGUCUCUAAACCAAGUCGUUUCUAGUCCUUGACGACACCUUCUUCCACAUUUCUCACCAUGAAUACUGUCCUGGUCAAUGUUUGCUUGGCAGAGAACUCCUUUGUUUUCCAAAGUGUAAAAUUUUAGUUAACUCAGUUAGAGAUGCCUGCCAAAUCCUGUAGCACUAUUUCUUUCAUGUCUUUGGUCUUCAUUCAUAGUAGUUUUAAUGUUUCUUUGUACCUCUUGGUUGAUUCUGGCUGUUGCUACAUUUUCCAUAAUAAUGAUAGAGCUGUCGAGGGUGCUGUACAUCCUCACAGUUAUCCCUGUCCUGUUUCCAGACUUUGUCCUGGAUGCAGCCUCCCUGAGAGUCCGCAGAGACAGGCUGUGCCCGCUCUGUCCUCCCACCCCUUCCCCUUCUCUGGCGGCUCGUGAGUCCUUGGGAGGCGGGGUCUUUCCAUCUGUACCUUGAGGAAGAGCUAUCAGAGGGAGGGAACCUACAAUGGGCACGAUUAACCAGGGCAGCCACAGAACACCACAACUUCCUACACGGAAAACACGAAAGAGAAAUUUUUAAAUGCAGACUAUCUGACUUUUAAAAUAUGCUUUAAAUAAUGGCGGGCCAGUGACACAGGGUGACUCCUGUCAUGUGCCUCACUUUGAAACCUUUCCCUUCUAAAUAUAGUCAGAAAUAUUUUUCAGUUACAAUGAAAAAGUCAAUUACCUUUUCAAGGACUCACACACCUGUAUAUUGCAAUUCAUUGUCUGCCAUUAUUUUAUGCAUGCCGGUCUUAAUAAUCGAGACUUCAGUUCUUGAAAACAGUCUUCUAAAAACAUGUGGUAGAGAGCUUGCUAUGCCCAUGCAUGCAAGAGGCCCUGGGUUCCAUCCUCCAUACCACAAAAAUACGUAAAUAAAAUAGAAAAAUACGUAAAUAAAUAGACCUUGGAUGAGGACAAGUUCCAGGGAGCUGCCCGGUGGCGGAAGAAGGCGACUCGAUCUUGGCAGGCUGCAGAAACCUGGACCCAGCCCUGGAAGGCUGAGUCCAGCGGCCCAGCCUCGCUGUUCGACCCCAGUGCUGCAAAUGCUCCGGCCUGGAGCUUCCCCAGGAGCGUCCGAAGGCUGUGGAGCUCUGGGAAGUGCGGCUUAUGAGAAACAGAGGCCACCCUCAAUUCCCAGUUGAAAUUAAAGCCCUUGUGAAGCAGUGGACACUUGCGGUGCUAGGUGCCAGGGAAACUGAGGCACAGGAGUAGACCAGGCCGCCCCCCGCCCACCACUAGAGCUGGUGGUGCAUGUGGACAGAGGUUUUCCUGUGGUGCAGUGUAGCUUGGGCUGGGGGCUGAAUUGUCUCUAAUGUCAUCUCUGCAUCCCCACUUUUACAUGGCCCUCACCUGGGGUCUAAAGUUGAAGUUUUAGAAAGUUUUCCAGGGAAAGGUAUAAUUUAGGCUUUGGGAUUCUGUCAGUGAAAGGCCCCUUUACCUCCUUUUAAUUCCCCACUGUCGUGUUUCCAUUUAAGGCUACUUUUCCUCCAACAGCGUCGCCCCUAAAGCUGGAGUCCUUUUAUAGCCUCUUUCCUGGUCCCUUCGGAAAUGCCCGGCGGGGUGGGUCUGCAGCAGAUUAGAGAGAAUCACCCCCACACAGCAGAGACACCAGAGGGCGCCGCUGGGCCGGCAGGGCAACAGCCCCGUCCUGGAGGCCCCCUCCUGCGAGGUCCUCGACCUGGAGCCCACCACGCUGUCGUCACCUCCCUCCCCAAACUGCCCAGCUUCCGGCUGUGUCCGGCAGAGCUGAAGCGAAGCUCAGCCCCGCCACCUGGAACCGGAAGCUGACGGUUACA
Non-coding RNA from Heterocephalus glaber (naked mole-rat), 2938 nucleotides. Lineage: Eukaryota; Metazoa; Chordata; Mammalia; Rodentia; Bathyergidae. The record is from RefSeq and is a predicted model, not a curated record.